This is a long non-coding RNA of Spinacia oleracea (spinach), 693 nucleotides long. RefSeq lists it as uncharacterized. NCBI's taxonomy places the organism in Eukaryota, Viridiplantae, Streptophyta, Magnoliopsida, Caryophyllales, Amaranthaceae. The transcript has 2 exons. The record is from RefSeq and is a predicted model, not a curated record.
GUAAAUAAAUGAGGGGAUAAAUAAAGGAGGGUAUAUGGGUAAAUAAAUGUGGCGGUUUUGAGUACUAUAGGGCGGUAAAUAGUAAGCCCUUUUGAUUUUAUAUUUUUCUUUUUUAUAAAAGUUGUCUGACUUCUCUCUAUUUUAUUUUCCCCUUUUUGUAAAACCAUCCCAUUUAUUUUCAGCAAAAAAAAAAUCAAAGUUUUUGCUACGUUGAAAAAAAAAACCAAACAAUUUCCUGAAUAAUUUAGUAUAUUGUGCAUUCGAUCAUCACUACCAUUCAGCAAUUAUCUGCCGCAAACUAGCAAAUUACAAGAGAGGCGACAGGUAUUCUUCAAAUUCAAGUACGUUAGAUCCUGAUACAAUGGACGUGUCAGACAUGCAAUUUCAGACAUUAGGAGAAAGGAGAAAGAGUUUUUCUUAUUCCUUCUUUGAGCAGAAACCAAAUUUGCGGACAUGAUUUUUUUUUUAUUCCUUCUUUUGAGUAGAAACCAAAUUUGUGGACAAGAGUUUUUUUUAUUCCUUCUUUGAGCAGAAACCAAAUUUGCGGACAAGAGUUUUUUUUUCCUUGUUUUGAGAUAUUCAGCAGAGUCAUUGGAAAUUGUUUUUCUUAUUCUUAAGGUUAAUUUGUAUCUCAUAGGAUUUAUGAAUAAUAACAAUAAGAAAAAGAAUUGAUGGGUAGUAUCUUACGUUAAA